UACGUAGGGUGCGAGCGUUAAUCGGAAUUACUGGGCGUAAAGCGUGCGCAGGCGGUUAUGCAAGACAGAUGUGAAAUCCCCGGGCUCAACCUGGGAAUUGCAUUUGUGACUGCACGGCUAGAGUGUGUCAGAGGGGGGUAGAAUUCCACGUGUAGCAGUGAAAUGCGUAGAGAUGUGGAGGAAUACCGAUGGCGAAGGCAGCCCCCUGGGAUAACACUGACGCUCAUGCACGAAAGCGUGGGGAGCAAACAGG
Molecule: ribosomal RNA, 253 nt
Filed under: uncultured bacterium
Lineage: Bacteria
Description: partial 16S ribosomal RNA
Rfam family: Bacterial small subunit ribosomal RNA
Source: RNAcentral